Non-coding RNA from Eucalyptus grandis, 133 nucleotides. The record is from Rfam. Lineage: Eukaryota; Viridiplantae; Streptophyta; Magnoliopsida; Myrtales; Myrtaceae.
CACCGCCCGUCACACUAUGGGAGCUGGCCAUGCCCGAAGUCGUUAUCUUAACCGCAAUGAGGGGGAUGCUGAAAGCAUGGCUAGUGACUGGAGUGAAGUCGUAACAAGGGAGCCGUACUGGAAGGUGCGGCUG